RNAcentral lists this ribosomal RNA (335 nucleotides) under uncultured bacterium. Its description in RNAcentral is "bacterial SSU rRNA". It matches the Rfam family "Bacterial small subunit ribosomal RNA", at positions 8 to 334 of the family's 1533-position model. The record is from RNAcentral.
AGGGUUUGAUUCUGGCUCAGGACGAACGCUGGCGGCGCGCCUAACACAUGCAAGUCGAACGGAGAUAAUAGGGAGCUUGCUCCCUGUUAUCUGAGUGGCGGACGGGUGAGUAACGCGUGAGUAACCUGCCUUAAAGAGGGGGAUAACGUCUGGAAACGGACGCUAAUACCGCAUGACAUAUCACUGCGGCAUCGCAGUGAUAUCAAAGGAGGAAUCCGCUUUAAGAUGGACUCGCGUCCAAUUAGCUAGUUGGUGAGGUAACGGCUCACCAAGGCGACGAUUGGUAGCCGGACUGAGAGGUUGAACGGCCACAUUGGGACUGAGACACGGCCCAG